GGGUAUAGCUCAGUGGUAGAGGGCAUGCCUAGCAUGCACGAAGUCCUAGGUUCAAUCCCCAGUACCACCA
RNAcentral lists this transfer RNA (70 nucleotides) under Camelus ferus (Wild Bactrian camel). It matches the Rfam family "tRNA". Rfam says of the family: Transfer RNA (tRNA) molecules are approximately 80 nucleotides in length. Their secondary structure includes four short double-helical elements and three loops (D, anti-codon, and T loops). Lineage: Eukaryota; Metazoa; Chordata; Mammalia; Artiodactyla; Camelidae. The record is from Rfam by way of RNAcentral.